Molecule: long non-coding RNA, 1354 nt
Filed under: Homo sapiens (human)
Lineage: Eukaryota; Metazoa; Chordata; Mammalia; Primates; Hominidae
Description: HSALNT0312695
Source: RNAcentral
GUUGAGAGGAGCGCACCGGAGAAAGAACACACGAGCUGCGGGACAGUGAGAGGAACACACUGGUAGAAGAGCACACAGGCAGCUGGAUGUCGAGAGGAGCGGAAGAGCACAGCGACAGGCACUGGUGUCGACCAGCGGAACGACGUGGAGUUUGGCCUGGGAGGUCAGAGAAGAAUUUGGCUGCUGGGCAGCCCCACUAUAGGGGAAAACCACCUUCCCACUCCAUUCCCCUUCUGAUCUCCCCAUCCACCUCGCUGAGAGCUACCACAACUCAAUAAAAAACCUAGCACUCGAUCUCCAAGCCCACAUGUGAUCCAAUUUUUCCCGUGCACUAAAGCAAGAACCUGGGAUACAGAAAGCCGUCUGUCCUUGUGAUAAGGCAGAGGGUCUAAUUGAGCUGAUUAACACAAGCCACCUGCGGACAGCUAAGCUGAAAAAGCAUCCUGUAACACACGCCCACUGGGGCCUCAGGAGGUGUAAACAUUCACCCCGAGAGGCUGCAUGGGUCCGCGCCCAUGGUCCCCAUGACUUGCCUGUUUGCCUGCUCUGGCUAAGGGUCUUGACCAGUGGGGCACUGAAGAAGCGAGCCACACCUCCAUCGUACGCCCUGCGAGGAGGGGUCUCACUCAGUGACCCAGGCUGAAUGCAGUGGAACAAUCAUGGCUUACUGUAGCCUUGACCUUGAGGGCUUAAGCAAUCCUGCCACCUCAGCCUGCCUAGUACUGGGACUACAGGUACGCGCCACCACGCCCAGAAAUUGCCACAGUCACCUCAACCUUCAGCAACCACCAACUUGAUCAAUCAGCAGCCAAUAACGUGAAGUCAUGACCAUUCACCAGCAAAAAGUUUAUGAUUCACCAAAAUAUUAGAUGAUCAUUAACAUUUUUAGCAAUAAUGUAUUUGUCAUUAAGGUGUUAGUGCAUUGGAAAAUCAUUUAAAGAAUGUAUCAGCUAAUUGAAGGCUUAUGUAAGCUGAAGUUCCUGUAUCUGCCUACGAUCCAGACCCACCAAGGAGGACGACAGUGUUUUUCUUUUCUUCCCCUCCACGUUAUCUCAUUAUCUGUAGCAGAAAAGAAGACCAAGAUGUGGCUACACCCGAGCAGACCUUUUUCCAUGUAUAAAGACUGUCUCAAAGGAUCAUUUAAAUUUCACGAACUAUUUACAAGUUAAUAGUUUGAUUGUUCCUGGACCCAAUUAUUCUCCCUAUCAAUCAUUUAAAAUCAAUUUUAACAUUGUGGUAGUAGAAUUUUUUCCUUUAACUGAUAUUAUAUUAAAACAUUCCACAAUUGAACACGUAUUAACUCUUAAGUAUGUAUAGCCUCCCGUGACCAUUUGUGUAUGAAAUCCAUUCAAAC